This 73-nucleotide transfer RNA is filed under the name Stegodyphus mimosarum. It matches the Rfam family "tRNA". Rfam says of the family: Transfer RNA (tRNA) molecules are approximately 80 nucleotides in length. Their secondary structure includes four short double-helical elements and three loops (D, anti-codon, and T loops). Lineage: Eukaryota; Metazoa; Arthropoda; Arachnida; Araneae; Eresidae. The record is from Rfam by way of RNAcentral.
GCCUUCGUGGUGUAGUGGUCAGCAUACUCGACGCAUAUUCGAGAGGUCCGUGGUUCGAGUCCCAGCGAGGGCA